Molecule: ribosomal RNA, 665 nt
Filed under: uncultured bacterium
Lineage: Bacteria
Description: bacterial SSU rRNA
Rfam family: Bacterial small subunit ribosomal RNA
Source: RNAcentral
CGUGAGUGAUGAAGGCCUCUAGGGUUGUAAACCUGCUUUUACCAGAGAAGGAAAAUGACAGUACUGGCAGAAUAAGGUGCGGCCAACUACGUGCCAGCAGCCGCGGUGACACGUAGGCACCAAGCGUUGUCCGGAUUUAUUGGGCGUAAAGAGCUCGGUAGGCGGUUCAGUAAGUCGGGUGUGAAAACUCUGGGCUUAACCCAGAGACGCCACCCGAUACUGCUGUGACUUGAGUCCGGUAGGGGAGUGGGGAAUUCCUGGUGUAGCGGUGAAAUGCGCAGAUAUCAGGAGGAACACCAAUGGCGAAGGCACCACUCUGGGCCGAGACUGACGCUGAGGAGCGAAAGCGUGGGUAGCAAACAGGAUUAGAUACCCUGGUAGUCCACGCCGUAAACGGUGGGCACUAGAUGUGGGUUCCAACCAACGGAAUCCGCGUCGUCGCUAACGCAUUAAGUGCCCCGCCUGGGGAGUACGGCCGCUAGGUUAAAACUCAGAGGAAUUGACGGGGGCCCGCACAAGCAGCGGAGCGUGUUGCUUAAUUCGAUGCUACGCGAAGAACCUUACCUGGGUUUGACAUGUACGGAAAAGCCACAGAGAUGUGGUGUCCUUCGGGGUCGUCCCCGGUGCUGCAUGGCUGUCGUCAGCUCGUGUCGUGAGAUGUGGGG